UAACAUUGCAGCCAUACAGCCCUUUGGAGCAAGAUGCAGCAGACCAUGGACAGAGAUCUGUUGAAUUCAUCCUCCCAGACUAAUUUCUGACAAAUUUCAAGAUUCUUUAAAAAGGCACAUGAAUUAACAGUGGGGGGAAAGCAUAAAUAAAGAUUUGUGUUUCCUCUAAGGGGGUUUCUAUCACCACAAAGAAAACCACCUUCAUUGAGGGUCCAGAAAAGCCAAACUAAAAUUAACACUAUUUUCAAACAAAUUGCUCAUAUAAUUUUAAAAUUCUUAAAGUCUAUAAAAUAUUUUUAUAAAGAUUGACAUACAAUAUAAAAAAGUCAUUAAUUUCUAGUUUGAGAAUUUAUGUACAUGUGAAAGUAAUGAACAGCCAUUACACAAAAAUCAUUCAAAAUGCAAUGACAACACCGGAUAACAUUAAACAGUAUUUCAAUAUCCUCAGAAUGAAGUACAGUUUGAACCCUUUCAUUAAUAAAAAUAUUCCCCACUAUAUUAGUCUAACAAGAAGAAUUAAAUAUUCCAUUGAUCAGUAAACAGAAUAGCCACAAAGCACUGUUGGUUUUGCCUCCAAAUUAGCACAGCCUAAUUCAUUUAUAAAUGUACAAAAGAAAAAUGAAGCAUUGCUAGUCUGAAAAAAAUUACCAGCUUUCAGGAAACAAUUCGCUAUCCUUUCUUUGGUAACUUACUAUGAUUUCUGUAAUUUAUUUAUCCCAGGAUGUACCUGGUAUAUCAUCAGCUUUAGGUGGUUUUGUUAAACUGGCUAUCCAAAAAUGAGUCAUAUUAUGCAUAAUUCUGCAUUAUUUAGGCUAUUCGGAAGGCACACCAUUGCUACUUCCCAAAUGACAAACUCAGAGCUAUUAAUACCUACAAGCACAAAAUUAUAACUCAAUAUAUUGAAUUCUACAAUUACAAUUCAAUACACUAAGAUGCAAAGUCCUGCCUCUGAGAUGGAAUAACCCCAUGCAACAUUACAGGCUGGGGGCCAACUGGCUAGAAAGCCUAUUUGCAAGGGAAGAAACUGGAGGUCCCUGUGGACAAACUGAGCAUGAGCCAGCAGUGUGCCCUGGCAGCAAAGGCAGCCAACAGCAUCCCAGGCUGUUUUAAGAGAAGCACUGCCGGCAGGUUGAGGGACCUGGUAAUUUCCCUCUUCCUGGCAUUUGAGAGACUGAAUCGGGAGCAACGGUCCAGCUCUGGUCUUCCCAGGACAAGGCAAAUACUGAAACAGUGAAGCAAGACAACUGGGAGGCUGCAGUGUGAUAUGCAAGAUAGACAAGAAGCUGAGAGAGCUGGGCUUGCACAGCCUGGGGAAGAGCAGCUGAGGGUGCGAGCUUAUUGCUGCCUGCAACAGCCUAACAAGGGAAGAUGGAACAAGGCUCCUUGCAGAGAUGCACAGGGACAUGACAAGAGGCAAUGGACACAAUCUGAACUAUUCCAAUUCAAUAUAAGGAAAAAAAAAUUACCUUGAGGGUAGUCAAACACUGGGCUAGGUUGCCAAGAAACACUGUGGCAUCAGCAUCCUUGGACAGAGUCCAGCUUGAAUGGAGAUGGCCCUGUGUAACCUGCUCUAAUUGGACCUGCACCGAGCAAGAGAACAGCCACGGAGAUUGGAGAAGACAUGUUUCUUC
Molecule: non-coding RNA, 1631 nt
Organism: Lonchura striata (white-rumped munia)
Lineage: Eukaryota; Metazoa; Chordata; Aves; Passeriformes; Estrildidae
Source: RefSeq, a predicted model, not a curated record